UGUGUAGGCUGUUCUCUAAGUUUGGUGUGAAAUCUCCCGGCUUAACUGGGAGGGUGCGCCGAAAACUGGAGGGCUUGAGUAUGGGAGAGGAAAGCGGAAUUCCUGGUGUAGCGGUGAAAUGCGUAGAUAUCAGGAGGAACACCUGCGGUGUAGAUGGCUUUCUGGACCAUCACUGACGCUGAGACACGAAAGCGUGGGGAGCAAACAGGAUUAGAUACCCUGGUAGUCCACGCCCUAAACGAUGCAUACUUGGUGUGAGCCGUUCAUUCGGUUCGUGCCGGAGCUAACGCGUUAAGUAUGCCGCCUGGGGAGUACGGUCGCAAGGCUGAA
Molecule: ribosomal RNA, 330 nt
Filed under: uncultured bacterium
Lineage: Bacteria
Description: bacterial SSU rRNA
Rfam family: Bacterial small subunit ribosomal RNA
Source: RNAcentral